This 218-nucleotide ribosomal RNA is filed under the name Campeiostachys nutans. RNAcentral describes it as "Elymus nutans partial small subunit ribosomal RNA". The stretch from base 44 to 218 matches the Rfam family "Eukaryotic small subunit ribosomal RNA", at positions 689 to 864 of the family's 1831-position model. Lineage: Eukaryota; Viridiplantae; Streptophyta; Magnoliopsida; Poales; Poaceae. The record is from RNAcentral.
GGGUUUACCCAUUGGUCAGGCUUAAUUGUCUGCACUGGUGAGAUAAAUCUCUACCUUCUGAGGAACUUUCAUGUCAUUAGUUUGGUGUGAUUGGAAAUCAGGACUGUUACUUUGAAAAAAUUAGAGUGUUUAAAGCAGGCUAACGUCUGAAUACAUUAGCAUGGAAUAAAGAAAUAGGACGGACUGAUUCUAUUUCGUUGGUUUCUAGAGUCGCCGUA